Aquila chrysaetos chrysaetos is the source of this 113-nucleotide long non-coding RNA. RefSeq lists it as uncharacterized. The transcript is spliced from 3 exons. Lineage: Eukaryota; Metazoa; Chordata; Aves; Accipitriformes; Accipitridae. The record is from RefSeq and is a predicted model, not a curated record.
AUAAGAAGGACAUGGCUCUGUUGGACUGAGUCCAGAGGAGGGCCAUGAAGAUGAUCAGAGGGCUGGGGAAACUCUCCUACGAAGACAGGCUGAGAGAGUUGGGGUUGUUCAGC